GACGAACGCUGGCGGCGUGCUUAACACAUGCAAGUCGAACGGAAAGGCCCUGCUUUUGUGGGGUGCUCGAGUGGCGAACGGGUGAGUAACACGUGAGUAACCUGCCCUUGACUUUGGGAUAACUUCAGGAAACUGGGGCUAAUACCGGAUAGGAGCUCCUGCUGCAUGGUGGGGGUUGGAAAGUUUCGGCGGUUGGGGAUGGACUCGCGGCUUAUCAGCUUGUUGGUGGGGUAGUGGCUUACCAAGGCUUUGACGGGUAGCCGGCCUGAGAGGGUGACCGGCCACAUUGGGACUGAGAUACGGCCCAGACUCCUACGGGAGGCAGCAGUGGGGAAUAUUGCACAAUGGGCGGAAGCCUGAUGCAGCAACGCCGCGUGCGGGAUGACGGCCUUCGGGGUGUAAACCGCUUUCGCGUGUGACGAAGCGUGAGUGACGGUAAUGGGUAAAGAAGCACCGGCUAACUACGUG
This 468-nucleotide ribosomal RNA is filed under the name uncultured bacterium. RNAcentral describes it as "partial 16S ribosomal RNA". It matches the Rfam family "Bacterial small subunit ribosomal RNA", at positions 28 to 507 of the family's 1533-position model. The record is from RNAcentral.